This 327-nucleotide ribosomal RNA is filed under the name uncultured bacterium. RNAcentral describes it as "bacterial SSU rRNA". It matches the Rfam family "Bacterial small subunit ribosomal RNA", at positions 28 to 334 of the family's 1533-position model. The record is from RNAcentral.
GAUGAACGCUGGCGGCGUGCCUAACACAUGCAAGUCGAACGAAGCUUGACGAAUGAUUUUUUCGGAAUGAAUUCUGAUAUGACUUAGUGGCGGACGGGUGAGUAACACGUGAGCAACCUGCCUUUCAGAGGGGGAUAACGGCUGGAAACGGUCGCUAAUACCGCAUAAGCCCACAGCUCGGCAUCGAGCAGAGGGAAAAGGAGUGAUCCGCUUUGAGAUGGCCUCGCGUCCGAUUAGCUGGUUGGUGAGGUAACGGCCCACCAAGGCGACGAUCGGUAGCCGGACUGAGAGGGUGAACGGCCACAUUGGGACUGAGACACGGCCCAG